RNAcentral lists this ribosomal RNA (513 nucleotides) under uncultured bacterium. RNAcentral describes it as "bacterial SSU rRNA". It matches the Rfam family "Bacterial small subunit ribosomal RNA", at positions 21 to 518 of the family's 1533-position model. The record is from RNAcentral.
GGCUCAGGAUAAACGCUGGCGGCGUGCUUAACACAUGCAAGUCGAACGGGGUGGUUCGUCCCGAGGAUUGACGGUGCUUGCACCUGAUUGACUCAUUGAAUCACUUAGUGGCGGACGGGUGAGUAACGCGUGGGAAACCUGCCCUAUACUGGGGGAUAGCAGUUGGAAACGACUGAUAAUACCGCAUAAGCGCACAGCAUCGCAUGAUGCAGUGUGAAAAACUCCGGUGGUAUAGGAUGGUCCCGCGUCUGAUUAGCUAGUUGGUGAGGUAACGGCCCACCAAGGCGACGAUCAGUAGCCGGCCUGAGAGGGUGUACGGCCACAUUGGGACUGAGACACGGCCCAAACUCCUACGGGAGGCAGCAGUGGGGAAUAUUGGACAAUGGGGGCAACCCUGAUCCAAGCGACGCCGCGUGAACGAAGAAGUAUCUCGGUAUGUAAAGUUCUAUCAGCAGGGAAGAUAAUGACGGUACCUGACUAAGAAGCACCGGCUAAAUACGUGCCAGCAGCGGC